UUAGCAUGGAAUAAUAGAAUAGGACGUGUGGUUCUAUUUUGUUGGUUUCUAGGACCGCCGUAAUGAUUAAUAGGGACAGUCGGGGGCAUCAGUAUUCAGUUGUCAGAGGUGAAAUUCUUGGAUCUACUGAAGACUAACUACUGCGAAAGCAUUUGCCAAGGAUGUUUUCAUUGAUAAGGAACGAAAGUUAGGGGAUCGAAGACGAUCAGAUACCGUCGUAGUCUUAACUAUAAACUAUGCCGACUAGGGAUCGGACGAUGUUAUUAUUUGACGCGUUCGGCACCUUUCGAGAAAUCAAAGUGCUUGGGCUCCAGGGGGAGUAUGGUCGCAAGACUGAAACUUAAAGAAAUUGACGGAAGGGCACCACCAGGGGUGGAACCUGCGGCUUAAUUUGACUCAACACGGGGAAACUCACCAGGUCCAGACACAGUGAGGAUUGACAGAUUGAGAGCUCUUUCUUGAUUCUGUGGGUGGUGGUGCAUGGCCGUUCUUAGUUGGUGGAGUGAUUUGUCUGCUUAAUUGCGAUAACGAACGAGACCUUAACCUGCUAAAUAGCCCGUACUGCUCUGGCAGUUCGCUGGCUUCUUAGAGGGACUAUCGGCUCAAGCCGAUGGAAGUUUGAGGCAAUAACAGGUCUGUGAUGCCCUUAGAUGUCCUGGGCCGCACGCGCGUUACACUGACAGAGUCAGCGAGUACCUCCUUGGCCGGAAGGCCCGGGUAAUCUUGUUAAACUCUGUCGUGCUGGGGAUAGAGCAUUGCAAUUAUUGCUCUUCAACGAGGAAUCCCUAGUAAGCGCAAGUCAUCAGCUUGCGUUGAUUACGUCCCUGCCCCUUGUACACACCGCCC
Molecule: ribosomal RNA, 846 nt
Filed under: uncultured fungus
Lineage: Eukaryota; Fungi
Description: SSU rRNA
Rfam family: Eukaryotic small subunit ribosomal RNA
Source: RNAcentral